GUGAGGAAGGCCUUGGUGGACGGCGCGGGAAGGAUCGAUGGUGGGAAAUAUGUUGAAACUAGGGGGUGUGUUGUGCAAAUUAUUAAGAAUUGGGGGAUUUAGAUGUUAGAUUUAGGAAGGCGAGAUGGAACAAAAUAUUAUUUUGUAGAUAGUUUGGGUGGCUUAAUGCUUCUACAAAAUAUUAUUUAUUCAAUUAAUUAUUUGGUUACUAUUUUAAUA
RNAcentral lists this long non-coding RNA (219 nucleotides) under Linum usitatissimum (flax). RNAcentral describes it as "long non-coding RNA (LUSI_LNC000220)". Lineage: Eukaryota; Viridiplantae; Streptophyta; Magnoliopsida; Malpighiales; Linaceae. The record is from RNAcentral.